CAACAUAAAAGGUGAUUAAAAAUAGUGGCAUUAAUAAGUCUUUUUUUAGGCUUUUCAGGUAUGAAGCUCACAGCUGUAUGAAGAAAUUAAACCUUGUCAGUUUAGUAAAACUCCAUGAUCAUCACUGGUUAAUUUAUCAAAAACAGUAGGAAUGGAACACUACAUAGCAAUGCUAAAUGCAUCACUUAGUUCAGCCUCGCUGUAAUCUCUGAAGUCACGAAUUUGUGUUUAGCUGGCAUCAUAUGUUCUAUGGUGUAGAAGCAAAUGAUUAUAUGAAAGCAAUGCAAAAAUCAAUUUAGAACUGUUUUGAUGAACCAUUGGAGAAAACAGGCUCCAUGUUAAGACAGUUGUAACAGAAUCCACUGGUUUUGAGCAAAAGCACCUGCAAAAUUUGUUAGUGUGAAAUUAAUUACAUACAUAAAUGUCAGUGGUGGUGUCACAGGUUUUUAAGUACCAGGUCAGCUAUUCAGUGAAGGAGGGACACAUCCAUGAUCUGACCAGAUGCUGUUUAUUCAUGGUGCCUCAUGAACAAGCAGCAAGAAGAGCUCAGAUCUUUAGUUUAGUACUCUUACCCCAGAGCAAGCCAUGAAUGUACCUCAGAACAUGCCCAAGGAGCCAUGAGAAAAUGACACUUUUCUCCUGCCCUUGCUCUGAUAAGCCAACAGAAGUGCCUGUCCUCUUUUUUCUUGUACUUCAUCCAAGGAUUCAGUUCACUUCCAACCUUCUUUCCUCAUAUAAUUUAUUGAUGUCAGUGGCUGUAAAAUUGCUAACUACUUUAAGCUUCUACAAUUUUCAAAAAGACUACAGUCCUGUGUGCAAGAUUAUUCCCUUAUGUACGUCCUCUGGAACUUAAAUUGUGCUAGACCUAGUUUAGAAAGAAAAAUGGGCCAAAGAACUGAUAAAACUACAGAGAGUUUAGGUUGUCAAAUUCUUUAUAGUCCAGGGACAAACACUGUUAGAGAACUUGGAGCAACAAGGUGCCGAGACAGAUUUAAGCCUUUCUAAGCAAACUUGGUCCUGAUUUUCCACAUAUGCAACAGUUGGGUUAACUUUGAAUUCACCAGCUCCAAUUCCUCCCACUCUCCUUCUUUUUCCUUGAAGUUUCUUAAGUUUUAUACCACUCUGCUCUGUAUCACACUUGAAUCUUAACCCAGCAUUGUCUAUUUCCUUCACAUUUCUCAAACUCUUUUAAAUGAGUCAUUCUGAAACAUUUUGCUGUGCUUCCUUGUCUUGCAAAGGUUGAAUGUAUUUUUUCCUACCUUUUGAAGCUUCAGUGUAAUGUGAAGCACCAGGGGAGCCCUUCCAGCUUUUAUUUUCUCUACAGGAGUCUGUGCUUAGUUUACUGUCUUUGCCGGAGACCACGUGAGCAGCAGAGUUCACAAUUGACGUGAGAGGUUCGAUUGUGCUCCCACUCUCAGCACAGGCAUGAAUGGAAUGAGUAUUCCAAUGGACCAAUGGACAGCUGAGGGAGCAGGGAACCAUGUCAGAACAGGUGCAGAGGGUGGAGGUAGACUGCAAGCCCGUGUUCAGAACAGCUUCCUGUGACCCUCUCUCCUCAAGCUGACCCAGGGAACAAAUGAGGAGCCCUAACCCAGUCUCUGCUAUAAUACCAUUGAAACCAAAUCAUCUCUAAGAGGAGUUUACACAGUUCCUUUUUAAGAAGGCAGCAAACAUGACACCAGUGCACUAUAACAAUCAUACUGUGAGGGUGUUAACCCUUUGGUGCUCUGAAAUGUGUCCAAAGCAGGGCCCCAUUCCCUGCUGUCCCCUCACACUCAGCUGCUCAGGGUCCAGCGCUUUCAUCCUCUCGCCGCUCAUAAGAGCAAGCACCCCUGAGGAUGCUGCCUGCAAUUUGAACUGUAGCAUUGAAGGAAAAGUAUCUCACUCCACUGCACAAAAACAGCAAGAAAGAGAGGAUUCCUGGCACAGCAGGAAAGCCAAGAUGUCCCUGGAGUAAUUCCAAAGUCUUGCAGGCCGAUGUAUUUUUAUAGCAUCACAGAAACAUGAGAUCUUAUUUUUCAA
Non-coding RNA from Cyanistes caeruleus (blue tit), 2022 nucleotides. The record is from RefSeq and is a predicted model, not a curated record. Lineage: Eukaryota; Metazoa; Chordata; Aves; Passeriformes; Paridae.